Grammomys surdaster is the source of this 364-nucleotide long non-coding RNA. RefSeq lists it as uncharacterized. The transcript has 3 exons. NCBI's taxonomy places the organism in Eukaryota, Metazoa, Chordata, Mammalia, Rodentia, Muridae. The record is from RefSeq and is a predicted model, not a curated record.
AGGAACUCCUCCUUCCUCUUACAAAAUGCUGAUCAUGAUAAGCUGUGCUCUGUGCUCACACUUGAGAUGGACAGACAGGAUGAUCUGUGUUUGAUGACAUCACUGCUUCCUGGCUUACAAUUGUUUCUGAAACCAGGACAGAACACCACCACCUUUCACAGGGCCCUAUCCACUGAAGUGUCAUGUGCUGGCAAGAUUUAUGUCAACUCAACACAAACUAUGGUCACGGUGAGAGGAAGAAAUCUUCACUGACAAAUGCCUUCAUAAAAUCUGGUUGUAGGACGAACCAAGAAAAGUUCAGUCUUCCUAGAAGCUGAGUUUCCUGGGAAACAUCUUGUCAUCGGGGCCUCAUCAUCAAAAGGAC